This 392-nucleotide unclassified non-coding RNA is filed under the name Hevea brasiliensis (rubber tree). Lineage: Eukaryota; Viridiplantae; Streptophyta; Magnoliopsida; Malpighiales; Euphorbiaceae. The record is from RNAcentral.
GGAUAAAGCUGAUAUGGAUGUUGAGACGUUUUACGAUGGGAUUUUAGCUGUUAUUGUUGUUAACGAAGGUGAAACUGCACUUGUUGGUGCUCCUAUUGGGUUAUUAGCUGAAACAGAAGAUGAAAUUGCUGAAGCUAAAGCGAAAGCGAAAGGACAAUCUGGGGGUUCUUCUUCUGGAUCGGAGAGUACUCCUGAACCUCAAUCUCCGGUUGUGGUUUCUUCUGAUGAGCCGAAGAAAAUUGUUGCAACCCCAAAUGCGAAGAAAUUAGCGAAGCAGCAUAAAAUUGAUAUCAAUAAAGUGAACGGGACCGGCCCAUUUGGACGGAUUACAUCGGAGGAUGUUGAGAAAGCUGCUGGAAUUACUCCGGCACCGUCCAAGAGUAUUAGCCCAC